UUGAAUUUAGGCGCCUGAAGGGGCGGGAGGAUCGGGGGAGAGGGCCGCAGCGUCGCCUCAGGGCGCGAGCAGGGACGCCGCCAGGGGUGGAAAGCCAAGGCGGGGUACUAGCCCAAGGCUCCUCCGUUGCAAUGUAUUGUGCCUCACCACACUCAGUGGCUUGUUUCCCUUUUCUCACUCUCGUUUCAGCCUCGCGAAGCAGCCCCGAGAGAACGAGCAAGGAGCCCCACGAGAGUCGCGCAUGCUGGAAGGGGGGUUGUUGUGAGGUUUUCUAGAGCUCCCCACACAGCCCUGAGAGGCAACUUCCCCUGGGAAAUAGGGGCUGCCUCAAAAGAGCACCUUGGUGCUUCAGUGGCAACGUGGUAGCCUGUAAAUGUACCCCCAACCCUGUGAGGAGGCUCCUUUGUCUGAACGGUGGUGGCUCCUUUAAAGAGCUAUCUUUAAUAGCAAUUCUGUGGCUGGCCUUGGGUGCUUCCAGGGUUUUAUUAUGGAUGGCUUCCCACUCCCAUUAUCUCUAUCUGCUGCUUGGAGUAUUGUUUAAAUACAAACUUAUAAUAUUUGUAAAAAGUAAAACUAAAAUAGGCUUUAAAUAGGAUAAAAUCAAAUAAGCAGAGAAUAAAAUCUUGAAUAGGAUAAAAUCUAAAAAACAGUGAGCUAGUGCAGUAUAAUAAAAGAAAUAUAGGUCAUUAAUAUAACAGGGAAAGUUAACAGAAAAGUGUGAAGCAUUCUAAAAGCAGGUUAGGUAUUUUAGAACAACUAGUGUAUUAAAAUAAUAUUCAAAGUAGCAUAUGGAAAUAAUGAAAAAGCGUAUCCAUAAUAAAAGCCUGAAUAGCUUUCUUGUUCUAGACUGUGUCUCAUUGUUCUACAUGGCCUCAUUAAGUAGCAGUGUGCCUUUCUCCUAGAUUUUACACUUUUGUUCUAAGAAUCCCCUCAUUUAGCUGGUGGGUGUUGAUGUCCAAACCUUUCUGUGUAACCUUACUUUUCAUGCUCUGAAUAGUGGUGAAAUGGCAUAUCCGACUUGCACAGAUGAUCAGCUUGGUCUGCCCUGCACAUGGAGGAAGCAAGGAUAGUGGAAAUGCAGCAUCCUUGACCUCUUCAAGCAGCGUGGUGUGCUGACCAGGCUUGGCUGACUGAAGGGACAUGGUGAUGAGGCAAGGGAACAAGUCCUGAAGGCUUAAGAUUUGAGGUUUGGUUCUCCUACUUUAUUUAUGACAGUUAUAUACUGCUCUGUCCAAACAGGUCUCAGUGUCUCAUUCGUGGCUUGGGCUCCUUGAUGAACAGAGAUGGUCUUCAAUAAACCAUUGAAAAGAAAGUAAAAAGUAAAGGUCUGAUAACUUAUGAAGAUUUUUCUUUUGUUUAGGAGGAAAAGGGGAGAAAAAAUAAAGCAGUACAGAAGGAGGAAGAAAAACAAGGAGAAAGGAGAAACAAGAGGAAACAAAAGGGAAGAAGUAGGAGGAGGGAUUGUUUUUAAAGAUGCAUGACAUAAGAAUCAGGUAGGUUAUUCUUCAACAAACUGGAAGGCUAAAUUGCUGACUUCCUCUCUGCCAUGUAUCACUCUUGAGUUCCUGGAGCCUGGCUUGCUUGUGCUGGACCCAAUGUACAUGCACUUAAGAACCUCUGAAAAUGUGGGAACAUGAACUUAGUGGCCAUGCAUGCGGAAGCCCCUAACAGGGCUGGAGUGUGGCUAUCUACUGCAGGACUUCACGUCUCGGCCCUGGGGAGCCCUACAAUUGUGGGAGCGUGGCCUAUUUUUUUAUUCUUAUUUUUACAUUUCUAGCCCUCUCUUCUUCUGAGGAGCCCAAAGCGGUGUACCACAGACUUGAUAUUUUCCUCACAACAACCCUGUAAAGUAGGUUAGGCUGAGAGAGAAGCGACUGGCCCAGAGUCACCCAGCUAGUAUGGUUGAAUGGGGAUUUGGACUCGAGUCUCCCCAGUCCUAGUAAACUAGGGAACCCCUGAUUUGGCUGUGGUGCCGAUUUGACGUGCUGGACUUCACGUCCUGGCACUGGGGAGCCCCGAAAAUGGUGGGAGCCUGGCCUUCUCGACGAGCCGGAGUGUCUGUAUGCUGCGUGGCUGCUCAUUUAUCUGCAGGGUGCCGUUCCUCACUGCGUGACUUUGCCCUUCAUCUUGUGAGUGGUGGCGAGUUGGCAUCUCCCAACUGCCCGGUCCCUAGUCUUCAGCUUGGUGCGCCCUGCCCACGGAGAAAGCCAGGGACGGUGGAAGUGCGGCAUCCGUGACCUCUUCAAGCAGCGUGGUGUGCCGAGCGGGCCCUGCUGGCUGGCUGAAGAAGGCACACGAAGGCAAUGGGGAGCAAGAACAGAAGAAAGAGGUGCAGAAGGAGGAAGAGAAGCAAGCAGGAAGGCGCCAGAGGAGACGUGAAAAGAAGCAGGAGGAGACCGGCUCUCCAGAAGCUUUGCAGAAGAAACGGGCAGGCUGUGCUUCCACCAGGCGGACGGCUUUGUUUCUCUCUCUCUCUCUCUCUCGGCCACUGAUCACUCUGCGUGGGGCUGCUGGACCUGCAGCGUGGCAUCCCUCGUGCUGGACUUCAUGUCUUUGCACUCAGGAGCCCUGAAAGGGGUGGGAGUGCGGCCUUCUCAGGCCGCCCUGAAUCUCUCUGCACCGAGUCCCUUGCAAUUGGGUGGGAGGUGGCUUGCUCAUGCUGGACCUGAAGUAUGUGUGCUGAGCCGCCCCUGGAUGGGACUGGGGGUAUUGCUUUUUCGCGCCACUGCUUUAUGUAUGUGCGCUGAGCUGCCCCUGGGUAGGCUGGCCUGGGGGUGUUGCUUCCUCGCGCCGAGCCUUAGAGGUAUGUGCGCUGAGCCGCCCCUGGUCGGGGCUGGGGGCGUUAGCUUUCUCACACCGAGCUUGAUGCCAUGUGCGCUGAGCCUGCCCCUGGCUGGGCUCAGCUUGGGGGUGUUGCUUUCUCUCGCGCCGAGCCUUCGGGUAUGUGCGCUGAGCCGCCCCGGGCUGGGAGCGUUGCUUUGUGCUGCCAGGCCUUACGUCUCUGCACUGAGCCGCCCCAGUGAGGGCUGGGGGUGUUGCUUCCUCUCGCCACGAGCUUCACGUCUUUGCUCUGAGAAGCCCCUCAAUUGGCCAGGGGGUGGCUCUCUCCAAUCCUUGCUGCCUGACUUUGCCCUCCAUGCUCUGCGUGGGGUUGAGCUGGCAACUCCGCCCUGCCCGCGGAGGAAGCUCGGGACGGACGGUAGAAGUGUGGCCUCCCUGACCUCUUCAAGCAGCAGCAGCAGCAGCCGCCUCUGCCGGCUGAAGGCACACGCCUGACGCUUGGUGUGCUCAUGCUCCUUGGCUGGGGCUCUUGCAUGAGCAGCGCUGGUCCUCAAGAAGGCCUUCGAAAGAGGGAAAAGAGUCAAGAGCUGCGAGAAGCUGAUCUCUUGCCUUAGGAGGCAAGGGAGAGAAAGGGCAGAAGGAAGAAGUGCCACAGGCUGGCGAAAAAGAAGCAGCACCAGGAGGAGACCUGAACAGCAGGGAAGAAGGAGGCGGAGAAGAGGGGCUCUCAAGCAGCUUCACAGAAGGAAGAAGGGGGAGAUUCCGCUUCGACCAGCUGGAGGGCCUCCUUGCUGGCUUUCUCUCUGCUCUGUCUCCCUGAGGAGAGGCUGAUUGACCUGGAGCCUGGCUGCUUUGGGAGGCUUCGGGUGUCCCUGCCCUGAGUAGCCUCGGGUUUGGGAGGGGCGUGGACAUGACAGGAUGGACUCGGUGUCCAUACGCUCAGUGGCCCUUUCUUGAACUGGGCUGCGGCUUUCUCGUGCUGGACUUCAUGUCUCUGCACUGGGGAGCCCUACAACUGUGGGAAGUGUCUGUAUGCUGGAGAAGCCCUGAUUUGGCUGGGGAGCGUGUUUCUCGUGCUGGACUUCAUGUCUCUGCACUGGGGAGCCCUACAAAUAGUGAGAACGUGGCCCUUUAUAGGGGCCGUACAAGGAGCAGCCCGUAUUUCAGCUGAGGUGUGUCUUUCUCGUGCUGGACUUCAUGUCUCUGCACUGGGGAGCCCUACAACUGUGGGAAGUGUCUGUAUGCUGGAGAAGCCCUGAUUUGGCUGGGGAGCGUGUUUCUCGUGCUGGACUUCACGUCUCUGCACUGGGGUGCCAUACAAAUAGUGAGAACGUGGCCCUUUAUAGGGGCCGUACAAGGAGCAGCCCCUAUUUCAGCUGAGGUGUGUCUUUCUCGUGCUGGACUUCAUGCCUCUGCACUGGGGAGCCCUACAACUGUGGGAAGUGUCUGUAUGCUGGAGAAGCCCUGAUUUGGCUGGGGAGCGUGUUUCUCGUGCUGGACUUCAUGUCUCUGCACUGGGGUGCCAUACAAAUAGUGAGAACGUGGCCCUUUAUAGGGGCCGUACAAGGAGCAGCCCCUAUUUCAGCUGAGGUGUGUCUUUCUCGUGCUGGACUUCAUGCCUCUGCACUGGGGAGCCCUACAACUGUGGGAAGUGUCUGUAUGCUGGAGAAGCCCUGAUUUGGCUGGGGAGCGUGUUUCUCGUGCUGGACUUCAUGUCUCUGCACUGGGGUGCCAUACAAAUAGUGAGAACGUGGCCCUUUAUAGGGGCCGUACAAGGAGCAGCCCCUAUUUCAGCUGAGGUGUGUCUUUCUUGUGCUGGACUUCAUGUCUCUGCACUGGGGUGCCAUACAAAUAGUGAGAACGUGGCCCUUUAUAGGGGCCGUACAAGGAGCAGCCCCUAUUUCAGCUGAGGUGUGUCUUUCUCGUGCUGGACUUCAUGCCUCUGCACUGGGGAGCCCUACAACUGUGGGAAGUGUCUGUAUGCUGGAGAAGCCCUGAUUUGGCUGGGGAGCGUGUUUCUCGUGCUGGACUUCAUGUCUCUGCACUGGGGUGCCAUACAAAUAGUGAGAACGUGGCCCUUUAUAGGGGCCGUACAAGGAGCAGCCCCUAUUUCAGCUGAGGUGUGUCUUUCUCGUGCUGGACUUCAUGCCUCUGCACUGGGGAGCCCUACAACUGUGGGAAGUGUCUGUAUGCUGGAGAAGCCCUGAUUUGGCUGGGGAGCGUGUUUCUCGUGCUGGACUUCAUGUCUCUGCACUGGGGUGCCAUACAAAUAGUGAGAACGUGGCCCUUUAUAGGGGCCGUACAAGGAGCAGCCCCUAUUUCAGCUGAGGUGUGUCUUUCUCGUGCUGGACUUCAUGCCUCUGCACUGGGGAGCCCUACAACUGUGGGAAGUGUCUGUAUGCUGGAGAAGCCCUGAUUUGGCUGGGGAGCGUGUUUCUCGUGCUGGACUUCAUGUCUCUGCACUGGGGUGCCAUACAAAUAGUGAGAACGUGGCCCUUUAUAGGGGCCGUACAAGGAGCAGCCCCUAAUUCAGCUGAGGUGUGUCUUUCUCGUGCUGGACUUCAUGCCUCUGCACUGGGGAGCCCUACAACUGUGGGAAGUGUCUGUAUGCUGGAGAAGCCCUGAUUUGGCUGGGGAGCGUGUUUCUCGUGCUGGACUUCAUGUCUCUGCACUGGGGUGCCAUACAAAUAGUGAGAACGUGGCCCUUUAUAGGGGCCGUACAAGGAGCAGCCCCUAUUUCAGCUGAGGUGUGUCUUUCUCGUGCUGGACUUCAUGCCUCUGCACUGGGGAGCCCUACAACUGUGGGAAGUGUCUGUAUGCUGGAGAAGCCCUGAUUUGGCUGGGGAGCGUGUUUCUCGUGCUGGACUUCAUGUCUCUGCACUGGGGUGCCAUACAAAUAGUGAGAACGUGGCCCUUUAUAGGGGCUGUACAAGGAGCAGCCCCUAUUUCAGCUGAGGUGUGUCUUUCUCGUGCUGGACUUCAUGCCUCUGCACUGGGGAGCCCUACAACUGUGGGAAGUGUCUGUAUGCUGGAGAAGCCCUGAUUUGGCUGGGGAGCGUGUUUCUCGUGCUGGACUUCAUGUCUCUGCACUGGGGUGCCAUACAAAUAGUGAGAACGUGGCCCUUUAUAGGGGCCGUACAAGGAGCAGCCCCUAUUUCAGCUGAGGUGUGUUUUUCUCGUGCUGGACUUCAUGUCUCUGCACUGGUGAGCCCUACAACUGUGGGAAGUGUCUGUAUGCUGGAGAAGCCCGGAUUAGGCUGGGGAAGUGGCUUUCUCGUGCUGGACUUCACGUCUCUGCACUGGGGUGCCAUAAAAAUAGUGAGAGUGUGGCCCUCGUAGGGGCCGUACAUGGAGCAGCCCCCAUUUCAGCUGAGGUGUGGCUUUCUCGUGCUGGACUUCACGUCUUUGCACUGGGGAGCCCUAUCUCUAGCCCGCUCUUCUUCCGAGGAGCCCAAAGCAGUGUACCACAUACUUGACUUUUUCCUCACAACAACCCUGUGAAGUAGGUUAGGCUGAGAGAGAAGCGACUGGCCCAGAGUCACCCGGCUAGUAUCAUGGUUGAAUGGGGAUUUGGACUCCAGUCUCCCCGGUCCUAGUAAACUAGGGAACCCCUGUUUCAGCUGAGGUGUGUCUUUCUCGUGCUGGACUUCAUGUCUUUGCACUGGGGAGCCCCGCAAUUGUAAGAGUAUGGCCAUCGUAGUGGCUGUAUACCGGGGAACCCCGAUUUGGCUGAGGAGCGGCUUUCUCAUGCUGGACUUCACGUCCUGGCACUGGGGAGCCCCGAAAAUGGUGGGAGCCUGGCCUUCUCGACGAGCCGGAGUGUCUGUAUGCUGCGUGGCUGCUCAUUUAUCUGCAGGGUGCCGUUCCUCACUGCGUGACUUUGCCCUUCAUCUUGUGAGUGGUGGCGAGUUGGCAUCUCCCAACUGCCCGGUCCCUAGUCUUCAGCUUGGUGCGCCCUGCCCACGGAGAAAGCCAGGGACGGUGGAAGUGCGGCAUCCGUGACCUCUUCAAGCAGCGUGGUGUGCCGAGCGGGCCCUGCUGGCUGGCUGAAGAAGGCACACGAAGGCAAUGGGGAGCAAGGACAGAAGAAAGAGGUGCAGAAGGAGGAAGAGAAGCAAGCAGGAAGGCGCCAGAGGAGACGUGAAAAGAAGCAGGAGGAGACCGGCUCUCCAGAAGCUUUGCAGAAGAAACGGGCAGGCUGUGCUUCCACCAGGCGGACGGCUUUGUUUCUCUCUCUCUCUCUCUCUCGGCCACUGAUCACUCUGCGUGGGGCUGCUGGACCUGCAGCGUGGCAUCCCUCGUGCUGGACUUCAUGUCUUUGCACUCAGGAGCCCUGAAAGGGGUGGGAGUGCGGCCUUCUCAGGCCGCCCUGAAUCUCUCUGCACCGAGUCCCUUGCAAUUGGGUGGGAGGUGGCUUGCUCAUGCUGGACCUGAAGUAUGUGUGCUGAGCCGCCCCUGGAUGGGACUGGGGGUAUUGCUUUUUCGCGCCACUGCUUUAUGUAUGUGCGCUGAGCUGCCCCUGGGUAGGCUGGCCUGGGGGUGUUGCUUCCUCGCGCCGAGCCUUAGAGGUAUGUGCGCUGAGCCGCCCCUGGUCGGGGCUGGGGGCGUUAGCUUUCUCACGCCGAGCUUGAUGCCAUGUGCGCUGAGCCUGCCCCUGGCUGGGCUCAGCUUGGGGGUGUUGCUUUCUCUCGCGCCGAGCCUUCGGGUAUGUGCGCUGAGCCGCCCCGGGCUGGGGCUGGGAGCGUUGCUUUGUGCUGCCAGGCCUUACGUCUCUGCAUUGAGCCGCCCCAGUGAGGGCUGGGGGUGUUGCUUCCUCUCGCCACGAGCUUCACGUCUUUGCUCUGAGAAGCCCCUCAAUUGGCCAGGGGGUGGCUCUCUCCAAUCCUUGCUGCCUGACUUUGCCCUCCAUGCUCUGCGUGGGGUUGAGCUGGCAACUCCGCCCUGCCCGCGGAGGAAGCUCGGGACGGACGGUAGAAGUGUGGCCUCCCUGACCUCUUCAAGCAGCAGCAGCAGCAGCAGCCGCCUCUGCCGGCUGAAGGCACACGCCUGACGCUUGGUGUGCUCAUGCUCCUUGGCUGGGGCUCUUGCAUGAGCAGCGCUGGUCCUCAAGAAGGCCUUCGAAAGAGGGAAAAGAGUCAAGAGCUGCGAGAAGCUGAUCUCUUGCCUUAGGAGGCAAGGGAGAGAAAGGGCAGAAGGAAGAAGUGCCACAGGCUGGCGAAAAAGAAGCAGCACCAGGAGGAGACCUGAACAGCAGGGAAGAAGGAGGCGGAGAAGAGGGGCUCUCAAGCAGCUUCACAGAAGGAAGAAGGGGGAGAUUCCGCUUCGACCAGCUGGAGGGCCUCCUUGCUGGCUUUCUCUCUGCUCUGUCUCCCUGAGGAGAGGCUGAUUGACCUGGAGCCUGGCUGCUUUGGGAGGCUUCGGGUGUCCCUGCCCUGAGUAGCCUCGGGUUUGGGAGGGGCGUGGACAUGACAGGAUGGACUCGGUGUCCAUACGCUCAGUGGCCCUUUCUUGAACUGGGCUGCGGCUUUCUCGUGCUGGACUUCAUGUCUCUGCACUGGGGAGCCCUACAACUGUGGGAAGUGUCUGUAUGCUGGAGAAGCCCUGAUUUGGCUGGGGAGCGUGUUUCUCGUGCUGGACUUCAUGUCUCUGCACUGGGGUGCCAUACAAAUAGUGAGAACGUGGCCCUUUAUAGGGGCCGUACAAGGAGCAGCCCCUAUUUCAGCUGAGGUGUGGCUUUCUCGUGCUGGACUUCACGUCUUUGCACUGUCUUUCUUAGUGGCCAUACAGUGGGCUUUGGGUAUCACUUUUUCUUUUGGGAUUUUACAUUUUUUUCUUUGCAUGUUAAUUACAUUUAAAUGUCUCGGGGAGCUUCAAUUCUGGCUUCGUUAUUUUGCUCUUCUUUUUCUGAAUGGUGAUGAAGUGGUACCUUUGGCCUGGCGUGGUGCGGCAGUUGAAGUGCGGCGUUUCUGACCUCUUUAAGCCGCGUGAUAUGCUGAGCACGCUCUGUUGGCUGAAAGCACAUGAAGAGAACACGAGAAAGAUUGAAGGAACAAUUGCAGAACAAGGAGAAAGAACACCAGAAAGUCCCAACAGGAGCCCUGAAGACUAACUGGAGAAGUGGGAGUAAAAGACCGGAUAACAAGAAGCAGGAGAGAAGAAACAGGCAGGUUCCCAUCCUCGGAGCUGACUGCCUCCUUCAUGACUGAGUAGCAAUUCUAUCACAUAGAAAUAUCCCCACAUUGCUGUGAGCCUGUUUCAACCCAAGAUGGUGACUGUCUCCAAAGGACUUCAAUUUUUGAUGGCGUCUAAAUAUUGGCACAGCCCCAUGAAGCUGCUUAGCCUGUCAGCUGGUGGGGGUCUCGAAAGAGUGGCAUGCUUGAGGGGCAGUUUUCUGGCAGUUCAGUCUUCAUGCCUGACCCUGUGUCUCGGCUACUUCCUGCUCUGAGAAAUCCCCAAGGUACUUGGAGUGUGGUUUUCUUCAUUCCUGGCUUGAUAUCUCUGCUUCAGAUUGCUCAGAGCAGCCACUGAGAUGACUGGAGAGCCACUGGCCUUGGGUGUGUCCAGGGUUUUAUCCUAGAUGGCUUCUCUGCCCCCCAUUAUUUCUGUUUGCUGCUUGCAAUAUUGUUUAAAUACAAACUUAAAAUAUGUUAAAAACUAAAACAAAAAUAGCUGUUGCAUAGGAUAACCUCUAAAAGGAUAGGAUCAAACCUAAAAAGAAUAAACAAGUGUAGUAUAAUAUAAGUAGGAUAACAUCUAAAAGAUUAGGAUAAAAUCUAAAAAGAUUAAACAAGUAUAGUAUAAUAUAAGAAAUACAGCUCUAUUAACUUAAUUAGGAAGGCUAAUAGGAAAUAAAAUCAAGCAUUUUCAAAGUAGAUUAGAUAUUCUAGACCAACUAGUGUAUUAAAAUAAUAUUCAAAGCAGCAUAUGGGAAUGGUGAGAAAAAGCACUUUGCUACUGAAAGUCUGAAAGGCCAGAACACAUCCACCAGUCCCUCAUUUAGCUCUUCCAUGGCUCCGGGUCUCUUCCUGCUAGGAUCUUACAGACUAUUCCCCCUUUGAUGCAAAGAUGGGUGCUUGGGCGAUUUGAAGUAGAAAUAAAGAUCAAUAUUGUCUUUAUGUAGCUUUGUUUACUGACAGGCUUAUAGGAUGCUGAAGAUGGUAUUUCUUUCAAGCACCCAGAACUGAUUCUUAUUUCAAGUUGUUUUAACCUGUGUUUUUUUGUAAAUGGCCCAGAGACAUGAGUUUUGGGUGGUCAUAACCAAAUAUGCUAAAUAAAAAGCUGUCAGUAUUGUCUGCUAGAA
Hemicordylus capensis (graceful crag lizard) is the source of this 10081-nucleotide long non-coding RNA. RefSeq lists it as uncharacterized. The record is from RefSeq and is a predicted model, not a curated record. The transcript is spliced from 4 exons. Lineage: Eukaryota; Metazoa; Chordata; Lepidosauria; Squamata; Cordylidae.